This 403-nucleotide ribosomal RNA is filed under the name uncultured bacterium. RNAcentral describes it as "partial 16S ribosomal RNA". It matches the Rfam family "Bacterial small subunit ribosomal RNA", at positions 30 to 526 of the family's 1533-position model. The record is from RNAcentral.
AGUGAACGCUGGCGGCGUGCCUAAUACAUGCAAGUCGAACGAAGUGGGGACGGGUGAGUAAAACGUGGGUAACCUCCCAUCAGAGGGGAUAACACUUGGAAACAGGUGCUAAACCGAUACUGAUGGAUGGACCCGUGGUGCAGUAGCUAGUUGGUGAGGUAGCGGCGCACCAGGGCCACGAUGGAUAGGCGGGCUGGGAGGGUGAUGGGCCAGACUGGCACGGAGAGACGGCCCAGACUCCUACGGGAGGCAGCAGUAGGGGAUCUUCGGGAAUGGACGAAAUGCUGACCGAGCAACGCCGCGUGAGUGAAGAGGGGGUUCGGAUCGUAAAACUCUGUUGUUAGAGAAGCGGUAUCUAACCAGAAAGCCACGGCUAACUACGUGCCAGCAGCCGCGGUAAUUC